UACGAAGGGGGCUAGCGUUGCUCGGAAUCACUGGGCGUAAAGGGUGCGUAGGCGGGUCUUUAAGUCAGGGGUGAAAUCCUGGAGCUCAACUCCAGAACUGCCUUUGAUACUGAAGAUCUUGAGUUCGGGAGAGGUGAGUGGAACUGCGAGUGUAGAGGUGAAAUUCGUAGAUAUUCGCAAGAACACCCGUGGCGAAGGCGGCCGGCUGGGCCGGGUCCGACGCUGAGGCGCGAAAGCGUGGGGAGCAAACAGG
This 253-nucleotide ribosomal RNA is filed under the name uncultured bacterium. RNAcentral describes it as "partial 16S ribosomal RNA". It matches the Rfam family "Bacterial small subunit ribosomal RNA", at positions 524 to 776 of the family's 1533-position model. The record is from RNAcentral.